This 563-nucleotide long non-coding RNA is filed under the name Chlamydomonas reinhardtii. RNAcentral's name for it is "long non-coding RNA (CREI_LNC001234)". The record is from RNAcentral. Lineage: Eukaryota; Viridiplantae; Chlorophyta; Chlorophyceae; Chlamydomonadales; Chlamydomonadaceae.
UGGAAAGGAGUCCAUGAAAUCCAGAGUUUAGCUGGGUGUGUGAUGUGGAUAACGAGGAAUGGAGGUAGUCGCAGGCCGGGCCGAGGCGAUGGGGGUCGCGUGCGGCGUGCGGCGGUGUGCGGUGUAAGGUUAGGCAGGCGCUUAUGGCUGCACGCACCUGUUGUGGUGGCAGCGGAGUGCGGCGGGGUUGGGGCCGAUGGGCACAAGGUGUGAGAGGGGUCGGAGGCUCAGGGCUGGGAGCAGUGCUGUUGCACGCAUGAAUGCAGGCGGAGGUGUCGUGUGGAUGGCGGCCUAGAAGAGUUGUCACGUGCGGGUGAGAGGGCGGCGGCGGUGGACUGGUGGAGAAGGAGCGAGUGUCAGCGGGGAUGUUGGUUUGGAGCGGGGGCGAGGGCCCGUGGUGGCAGGCGUUCGUGCGGCAGGCGAACGUGGGGGGCUGAAAUGUAUGGGGCUGUGUCGCCUCCCGACCCUGGUCGUCCGUCCGCCACCGACCGCCUGCAUUUGUGGUGAUGCCGCACCUACCCAAGCUAGGUGGGCCUGCGGCUGUGUCUGGCCCUGCACCUGAC